Molecule: unclassified non-coding RNA, 465 nt
Filed under: Hevea brasiliensis (rubber tree)
Lineage: Eukaryota; Viridiplantae; Streptophyta; Magnoliopsida; Malpighiales; Euphorbiaceae
Source: RNAcentral
UCCCCGAGCAACUUCUGCAGGCCAUUAUUGAAUCACUAGCUCUGGUUGGAACUGUUAAAUGUUACAACAUCCAGAAGCAGAUCACUUAGAUUGUAUUUGAGGUUGAUACACCAGCAGAAAUUUAGAACUAUGAGGUCUUGGUAAGGCCUGUCCAAGGAUUAAUGAUGGUAGUUGGUACACAGAUUCUCAAGGACAAAGGUCGAAAUCAGAGAUAACACUUUUAUCGUCAUACAGAACAUAGAUAUACAUAGUGCAUCAUCGAAGAUUCGCAGGGAAGGAUUCAAAAUUUUGACAUAACGGAAAUUCUUGACGCGAAGGCGGCAAAUAGAUCUGUAUAACACACAGAUUAUGUGGACUCUAUCCUACGAUGUGUGAGUUAAGAAACUGCAGUUCUAGCAAAGCCAAAGGCAUAAUUUGUUGCUUGACUCAUGAUCAGCAAGUGCCACAUUUCUUAGUAGAAUACAG